This 253-nucleotide ribosomal RNA is filed under the name uncultured bacterium. RNAcentral describes it as "partial 16S ribosomal RNA". It matches the Rfam family "Bacterial small subunit ribosomal RNA", at positions 524 to 776 of the family's 1533-position model. The record is from RNAcentral.
UACGUAGGGUGCGAGCGUUGUCCGGAUUUAUUGGGCGUAAAGAGCUCGUAGGCGGUCUGUCGCGUCGGAUGUGAAAACCCAGGGCUCAACCCUGGGCCUGCAUUCGAUACGGGCAGACUAGAGUACGGCAGGGGAGACUGGAAUUCCUGGUGUAGCGGUGAAAUGCGCAGAGAUCCGGAGGAACACCGAAAGCGAAGGCAGUCUCCUGGCAAGUUUCUGACGCUCAGGUGCGAAAGCUAGGGGAGCGAACAGG